AUGUACCCUAUUGAAAGGCGGCUAGGCACUUUCAAGGGCUAUGUUAGGAACAGAGCUAGACCCAAGGGUUCCAUUGCAAAGGCCUACAUUGCUACAGAGGCGUUGACAUUCUGCUCAAAAUACAUUGAAACAGCUGAUCAGCUUAGCAAAGAGGUGGGUGAAGACAAUCCUGGGCUCAAUGUUUUCGAUUAUUCUAUUCGAGUUACAGGGAAGAGUCGACAAGAGGACAAACCUAAAGAUUUGGACAAAAUGGUUUGGUAUGUGUUGAAUAACUGUCCUGAGAUACUACCUUAUAUCAAGUAA
Molecule: ribosomal RNA, 303 nt
Filed under: Triticum aestivum (bread wheat)
Lineage: Eukaryota; Viridiplantae; Streptophyta; Magnoliopsida; Poales; Poaceae
Description: partial small subunit ribosomal RNA
Source: RNAcentral